This 396-nucleotide unclassified non-coding RNA is filed under the name Glechoma longituba. RNAcentral describes it as "nontranscribed spacer". Lineage: Eukaryota; Viridiplantae; Streptophyta; Magnoliopsida; Lamiales; Lamiaceae. The record is from RNAcentral.
UUUUUUGUUGUCGAACGUCUCUAAUUUUUUUAUUUCUCGAUUUUAUUUGAUAUGUACAUGAGUUUACACUCGAUUUUAUCAUAUAAUAUCUUUAGGGGUUGUUUUUUGAAUCUAGUGGAAUAUUUAGGGGGGACCACAUGCGCGGCUUCUUUGAAAAAUGUCGGGGACGCCAAGAAAAGCGCGAAGAGGCGCAGAAUGCUAGUUUUUUUUGCAUUGAAAUGUGUGGGGUCCUAAGACCCAUUUUUCAAGACGUCGAGCUCGAGGAGAGCUUCACGUGCAUGUAUGGUGGGUCCCGUAACUCUUUCCGGACCGAAAGUUAUGCCCGAACGAAGUUCAGGAUCUCAAUUUCACUCGUGCUCAUCAACUAUAACAGAAUAGAUUGUGGUUUUACUUACG